UAUUUACCCAGUAGCAUAUGCUAUAUUUGAGAGGGAGAAUGCUACUAUCUAGAGGUGGUUUAUUCAGCAUUUGGGCGAAGAUUUGAAGAUGAUGAAUGGUAAUGAAUGGACAUUUAUGAUGGAUAUGCAAAAGGGUCUACAAAAUAUUAUAGAUGAUUUGUAUCCCGAAGUUGUUCACCAAUUUUAUGUUAGACACAUGUACAACAAUUUCUUUAGAACUGAUUUUAAGGGUUUAAUUCUUAAGGAAUACUUAUGGAAGGCCGCAAAGUUGACAAUAGUGCCCGAAUGGAUGUUUUGGAUGGGUGAGAUGGAGAAAGAAAGUACUGCAACGCAUAAUUGGUUAAAGAAAAGGCACCCAAGUGAAUGGAGUAGGGCUUAUUUUCAGACAAAGGUUAAGAGUGAUAUUUUUUUAAAUAAUCUAUGCGAUGUCUUCAAUAAUGUUGUAUUAAAAGAAAGGGAAAAUUUUAUAUUGACAAUGUUGAUUGAUUUGCAUAUAAGUUUCAUGAAAAUGAUACAAGCAAUAAGGGACAAGAUGAGAAGAGUAGUAUGACCUUUGUGUCCUAAAGCUCAAAAGAAACUUAUGUCAAACAUUGAGAUGGUAGAGCUAUAUGAGGUGGAUUGAUCUGGAGGGGCCCAGUCAUAUGUGAAAUGUUCUAGUGGGGAAUAUGUUGUUGAUCUAAUGAACAAAACAUGUGCAUGUAGGAUAUGGGAUUUGACUGGGGUUCCUUGUGAUCAUGCAUUUGCUGCCAUUAUAGACUGAAGGGAUGAGUCGUGGAAGUACAUGCAUGAGUGUUAUAGAGUAAGUACAUAUAUGAACUGUUAUAAGAAUAUUAUAAACCCUAUCAAUGGGAUAAAAUUAUGGCGUCAAGUAGAUGCCCCUCCAAUCAAGCCACCAGAAUGGUUUGUGCCUAAAAAGGGAAGAAAACAGAAGAAGAGAAGAAGACAGGUAGAAGAAUAUGUCAUAACCCAUUCGGGGUCCAAAGUAAAGUUGAACAAGAAGGGUACCGUGAUGAUUGCUUGUAGUUUAUGUGGAGAGAUAGGUCACAACAAGAGGUAUCAUCAAAAGGCCAAUGCAACACAUGAGGUAUGUUUACAGAUGUGCUAUAAUUUUUAACAUACUAUCUGAUCUAAUGUGCAUUAGUUUAUAUUCUAGUGAUAGGAUUUUUCUUGUGGGGCUGUAGAUCAUACACAUGAAGGAAGCUUAAGGGAUGUGCGGAGUGAAAGAUUAAGGGUAAUUACAACUAUUGCAAUAUCAUGCUAUAAAUGAAUCUGGCCAAAUAAAUUUUUCACUACAUAUAUGAUGUUAUGACACUAUUACAGGUAAAACUCAUGUAUAGGAGGCAAUUGGGGAUGCAUCCAUCUGAAAUGCAACCACCAGAACAAUCAUCCAAUUCCCUUUUCAUGCCAACACUUGGAAUUGGUUUAACUAGUGCUGCGUAAUUUACCAACUAUGGUCCUCUACUAUAAUGAGCCAGCCGUUCAACAAUGGAGAAAUCUCCGCUUAAAGCCAUAGUGGAAGACUUGCAAGAGAGAGAGAGAGAACCAAGAAAAACAAAGGAAGAGGGCAACCAUAGCAAAAAAUAGAAUGAUUGUUCGAGGGUCGGUUCCAUUUGUGCCUCCAAGAAAAAAUUCAGCAACUCGAUAGUAUUUUCUUUUUGUUUAAUGGAUGUAAUUUUUGUUAGAAAGACAAGAAACGAAAAUCUGGUGUAAUUUUGGUAUUGAAGACAAAACAAUGAUCCAUGUAAUCAUGAUUUGAAUUGCUAUUUUUGCAUAUUAGUUGAAUGAAAAUAUGCAUCUUGGUUUCUUGUUGGAAUGCUUUUUUGAAUUGCUAUUUCAGAGAGGAAAUUUUAGUGUAUAAUUGCCACAAUUAUUUGUUGAAUAGGUAAGAAUAAAAAUAAGAAAGCAAGGAACAAUUUCAUCUUUUGGCAUUAUAAUGAAAUUCUGCAGAUAUGUUAAUUUUUCUGCCAAUCCAAUGUUGAGGCUUCAUUUGAUAUAGUAGCUUGCACAUCCUUUCUUACUUUUAGCUUCAUAAAAUGGCCAGUAGAGUAUAAUACAUAAUUUGAAUGCGAUAUUGAUAGAAAUCAUGUAAAAACAUCAUAACAUCCAUUAUAUAUAUUCAUCUUGAUACUCAUUUUUUCCAAAAAAAAAAAUAAAAAAAUUUACCUUAUUAACUCAGUUUGUAGUAUAAGAAGAAAUAAAGGAAAUCAUUGGAGUCCUUUAACUUGGAAUAAGCAUAAUUUAGUCUGUUAUUAAUUUAGAUUAUUUCACAACACCAACAACAACAAACUAAGUUUUUUCCCAACAACAAGGGCUAGUUCUGUUGACAUCUUCACCUUAGAUUCUUGCUAAAAAGGUGAUUUUUCUGAGGUAGUGGCUUGGAGCAAGUAUACAAGCAAGCCUAUUUAGGACAAGGAAGUAUCAAUUGCAUUUUCUGAUAGAAUUCCCCAGGCCCCUAUUUGGAGGUUUGUAGCUUUGGAAAAUAGUAAGUUGAGCUUAAGAGGAUUAUAUUGGUUUCUUCAGCACACAAGUAUGUAAAUUACUCUAAAGAAGAUCUUGCCUAUCAAUCUGUGCCUAGAUGUUCAAUUAUAGAAAUGCAACAUAAAGACAGAGAAUUCAGAACUGCACCAAAGAGGGAAAGCCUUUAACACUAACAAUAAAGCAUUCCAAAUAGUACAAUGGAAUUUAGUGGAAGAAAAUCUUCAUUACAAACAUUUAUUAUAUACCCUUCAAGUAUCUGAGUACAUCAUUCUUAAUAGUAAUAAGAGAUGAGCACAAGGCACUAAAACACCACUUUUCUCUUCAUCACAUCCUUUAGCUUCAAUGUCAUAAGUACUAGACCUAAACUAAAAAUUCAAAACCACCUUCAACUACAGGAAGUAUCACAGAAUAUCUUGAGUCUUGGACCACGCCAAUGUCAUUAACAAAACAACUGCUAGUAAGAGGAACCCACAGUAUAGCAGUAUCUACCACCCAUAGAUGCUGGCUGAACAUGGCCAACCUUCAUCUUAUGCCUACGCUGCCAAAAUUGUAGAUGAAUUUAGAGUUCAUAUGAAUUUGGGGAUUUCUCAAAUUGGAGUUUAAUAUGCAUUUGUUCCUUGAUUUGGGGCUUAUACUGGGAUGAAAAUGGUUUGGAUUUAAUGUAAGGAAGAAUUGAGUAAUGUGAUGGAGAAGAAAUCAAUUUGGGGUUCCAGAGAAUUGAAUGAUGCUGUGAGGAAAAUAGCUAUGGAAAAUUUGGAAGGAAAAACCUAUUUUAAUUUAAUUGAUUUUGGUCCUUGCUAUCAAAAUAUUUAACAUU
Molecule: small RNA, 3295 nt
Filed under: Olea europaea subsp. europaea
Lineage: Eukaryota; Viridiplantae; Streptophyta; Magnoliopsida; Lamiales; Oleaceae
Source: RNAcentral